GAGGUCGUUUGACCCCCUAAAUAAUUCGCCGAAGUUGGGACUUCGACACAGUUUUUCCGUAGUGCCGGAAAAAUUUGUCAAAAUCCGAUUCUUCCUCUUUUAACCGCCUCUACAACCCUUAUCCGACCCCUCUAGACUAUAUCCACCCUUUGUAUAGCCUAAUAUCAUCAAAAGACUAGAUAGGGAUGGAUAUUUACCUUUUUCUUUUUGAAAAUCGAGGUCCUUGCGUAGAGGGGAAGGAGAUCUACACUUUUCCCUUCAGCUGGCAGCGUAACCGGGAUCUCCUUCCUUUUUCUUUCUUCCUUUCCUUUCCUCUCCUUCUUUUUCUUCCUCUCUGUCCGUCUGAGACUCCCUCUGUGACUCUCUCUCGGUUUCC
This 376-nucleotide long non-coding RNA is filed under the name Phoenix dactylifera (date palm). RNAcentral describes it as "long non-coding RNA (PDAC_LNC010073)". The record is from RNAcentral. Lineage: Eukaryota; Viridiplantae; Streptophyta; Magnoliopsida; Arecales; Arecaceae.